AGGACGAACGCUGGCGGCGUGCUUAACACAUGCAAGUCAAGGGGGCCCAGCAAUGGGCAACCGGCGAACGGGUGCGUAACACGUGAGCAACCUACCGAAAUGUGGGGGAUAGCCGGCCUAACGGCCGAGUAAUACCGCAUACGCUCUCGAUGAGGCAUUUCAUUGAGAGGAAACCUACGGGACAUUUCGAGGGGCUCGCGGCCUAUCAGCUAGUUGGCGAGGUAACGGCUCACCAAGGCAACGAUGGGUAGC
Molecule: ribosomal RNA, 252 nt
Filed under: uncultured soil bacterium
Lineage: Bacteria
Description: partial 16S ribosomal RNA
Rfam family: Bacterial small subunit ribosomal RNA
Source: RNAcentral